This 460-nucleotide ribosomal RNA is filed under the name uncultured bacterium. Its description in RNAcentral is "partial 16S ribosomal RNA". It matches the Rfam family "Bacterial small subunit ribosomal RNA", at positions 338 to 795 of the family's 1533-position model. The record is from RNAcentral.
CCUACGGGGGGCAGCAGUGAGGAAUAUUGGACAAUGGGCGUAAGCCUGAACCAGCCAAGCCGCGUGAGGGAUGAAGGUUCUAUGGAUCGUAACCCUCUUUUAUAGGGGAAUAAAGUGCGGGACGUGUCCCGUUUUGUAUGUACCUUAUGAAUAAGGAUCGGCUAACUCCGUGCCAGCAGCCGCGGUAGUCCGGGGGAGCCGAGCUUUAUCCGGUUUUAUUGGGGUUAAGGGGUGCGUAGUCGGCCGUUUAAGGCAGCGGUGAACGUCUGUGGCUCAACCAUAGAAUUGCCGUUGAAACUGGGAGGCUUGAGUAUGUUUGAGGCAGGCGGAAUGCGUGGUGUAGCGGUGAAAUGCUUAGAUAUCACGCAGAACCCCGAUUGCGAAGGCAGCCUGCCAAGCCAUGACUGACGCUGAUGCACGAAAGCGUGGGGAUCAAACAGGAUUAGAUACCCGAGUAGUC